AAAGUCGUAACAAGGUUUCCGUAGGUGAACCUGCGGAAGGAUCAUUAACAAAUUCAAAAACUGACGUCCCAUCCGAGGUCUGUCUAACAACAACCUUGGAUGGUGUCUAACUACACACACUUUGAUUGACAACACCUAGUGAUAACAUCUAGUUAAACAACUUUUAACAAUGGAUCUCUUGGCUCUU
Molecule: unclassified non-coding RNA, 187 nt
Filed under: Basidiomycota sp.
Lineage: Eukaryota; Fungi; Basidiomycota
Description: partial contains small subunit ribosomal RNA, internal transcribed spacer 1, and 5.8S ribosomal RNA
Rfam family: Eukaryotic small subunit ribosomal RNA (bases 1-47)
Source: RNAcentral